GGGAUUGUUGACAUUCAAGGACAUAUCUGUAGAAUUCUCUAUGGAAGAGUGGGCCUCCUGAACCCUGAUCAGAAGAAUUUGUAUCAGGAUGUCAUAUUAGAGAACUAUGGAAACCUGGUUUUCAUAGGUUUUUUUCUGCAAUACCGUGGAUACAAUUUGUCAUGACUGUUGGAGAGCCUCAAGCUGUUGCCCUGGGUAGAGUGCCAUUGCAUCACAGCUCACAGCAACCUCCAACUUCUGGGCUCAAGCAUUUCUUCUGCCUCCGCCUCCCAAGUAGCUGGGACUACAGGCGCCUGCCACAACACCCGGCUAUUUUUUGGUUGCAGCCGUCAUCGUGUUUGGC
Nycticebus coucang (slow loris) is the source of this 343-nucleotide long non-coding RNA. RefSeq lists it as uncharacterized. NCBI's taxonomy places the organism in Eukaryota, Metazoa, Chordata, Mammalia, Primates, Lorisidae. The transcript is spliced from 3 exons. The record is from RefSeq and is a predicted model, not a curated record.